Molecule: ribosomal RNA, 253 nt
Filed under: uncultured bacterium
Lineage: Bacteria
Description: partial 16S ribosomal RNA
Rfam family: Bacterial small subunit ribosomal RNA
Source: RNAcentral
UACAGAGGUCCCAAGCGUUGUUCGGAAUCACUGGGCGUAAAGCGUGCGUAGGCCGCACGGUAAGUCAGUGGUGAAAUCCCGGAGCUCAACUUCGGAAUUGCCUCCGAUACUGCCGUGCUUGAGGACUGGAGAGGAGAUUGGAAUUCACAGUGGAGCAGUGAAAUGCGCAGAUAUCAGGAGGAACACCGAUGGCGAAGGCAGGUCUCUGGGCAUUAACUGACGCUGAGGAGCGAAAGCAUGGGGAGCGAACAGG